GAAGACCCCCGUCACCACGCCGGUAACGAGGGCCUCGUUGUCGUUGAUUGU
This 51-nucleotide small RNA is filed under the name Sinorhizobium meliloti 2011. RNAcentral describes it as "putative ncRNA". Lineage: Bacteria; Pseudomonadati; Pseudomonadota; Alphaproteobacteria; Hyphomicrobiales; Rhizobiaceae. The record is from RNAcentral.